CAAGGAAUUUUCCCCAAUGGGCGCAAGCCUGAGGGAGCAACGCCGCGUGCAGGACGACGGCCUUCGGGUUUUAAACUGCUUUUGCGUGGGACGAUAACGACGGUACCACGCGAAUCAGCCCCGGCUAACACUGAGCCAGCAGCCGCGGUAAUACAGAGGGGGCAAGCGUUGUCCGGACUUACAGGGCGUAAAGCGCGGGCAGGUGGCCCGGUAAGUCGGCUGUGAAAACCCCUGGCUCAACCAGGGAAGUGCAGUCGAUACUGGCGGGCUCGAGUCCCGGAGAGGGUGGUAGAAUUCCCAGUGUAGAGGUGAAAUUCGUAGAUAUUGGGAGGAAUACCGGUGGCGAAGGCGACCGCCUGGACGGGUACUGACACUGAGGCGCGAAAGCGUGGGGAGCAAACAGGAUUAGAUACCCCCGUAGUCC
Molecule: ribosomal RNA, 424 nt
Filed under: uncultured prokaryote
Description: bacterial SSU rRNA
Rfam family: Bacterial small subunit ribosomal RNA
Source: RNAcentral